RNAcentral lists this long non-coding RNA (1114 nucleotides) under Anser brachyrhynchus (Pink-footed goose). RNAcentral describes it as "lncRNA (ENSABRG00000003047.1)". The record is from RNAcentral. Lineage: Eukaryota; Metazoa; Chordata; Aves; Anseriformes; Anatidae.
AGACGGUCUGCAUUUGUAAUGAAGCUUGUUAUAAGAACCUCCAUGGCUUUAUAAAAGUUCUGUUCUCUCUCCAAGGACAUCACGGGUCUCUCUCAUUUAUGGGCAUGGUGCAGCAUGCCUUGUUCACUCAGUAAUGUUUGCCAUAGCCAGACAUAACCUUUAAUAUUCAUUUAUUUGUGGGAGAUAAUACAACAUGCGCCACUGUGGAUUACUAAAGGAGGAGAGUUCUGAUGAACAGUAUUUCUGAAGUAAGUGUUUGCUUACAUCUCUGACCUGCAAAUUGCUGGAGGCUAGGAGAGUGUGGUUGUUGGGAAAGUGUACCAGGAAAACAUUGCUGUACUUUUCCUUGUUUUGUACUCCUUCAAAAUUAUCUGCUUUUGGCCACUGUCCCCAUGUUUUUCUCCCCUUUAGGUAUGGGAGGCAGCCCAUCCCUAACAGAGACUAAAACACAAAAACAAAACAAGAAAAAAAGAAGAAAAAAAAAGAAAAGAAAAAAAAAAAAGAGAAUAGGUGAAGAGAAUACAUUGGAGAGGAAAAAAAAACAAGUGAUCACAGGUGAGAAAAAUGAUAAAAGGUAGAUAUAGUGGAGAGUCAAUAGGUUAAAAAUAGGGAACCAGAAGGGGAUGCUUGGCAGAGCACCCCAGCUGCACCCACCUCUCCCUUGAGGCACCCAAGUACCUGCUGGAUGCUGACCUGUGGUACCCUGCAAGGAGACAUGGCAGGGCCAGGCAGUGGAAACAGGACUUACUGUCUCUGCCUACCAAGCUACCAGGGACACCAAAUUAGCUCAGAAUGCAUGCUGGGCCUUCAAUGCUCCUUAUAUUCUCCUGGUGGAGAGAGCUCUUAGCACAUUGUGUCUGAGUGGGGUGGGUUGAUGAGGCAAUGGAAUGAGAGGGCAAGAGCUCAUAAAGGUGUUGCCAAGAUGUGGUGUGGAGGUGGACACUGGGUACCGUGGUGUCUUCUAGAGCCAUCUGCAAGGAGGCACCUGGCAGGGCCUGCAAACUUAGCUGAGGAAAGCUUGAUGCUGCUGGGCAGCUGGACUGUUUCUGCUGGGGUGCAGUAUGGACGUAUGUGUGGGAGACUCUGGGACAUGAAGGCUGAUCGGGGAAAAUAA